Molecule: long non-coding RNA, 317 nt
Filed under: Ananas comosus (pineapple)
Lineage: Eukaryota; Viridiplantae; Streptophyta; Magnoliopsida; Poales; Bromeliaceae
Description: long non-coding RNA (ACOM_LNC042966)
Source: RNAcentral
AAAAGAUUCAUGCUCCUCCAUACGAAUAGAAUCAAAUUGACUAGUCAGCAUUUGGAGCUUUUGAAUUUUUACUAAACUAGUACCUUCAUGUGUAAUUUGUAGAGUGUUCCAAAUUUCCUUGGCGGUCUCACACGCCGAAACGCGAGUAAACUCCGUUUGUGACAAUGCAUUAAAUAAAGCAUUUAUGCCCUUGCCGUUAAACGAAGAUGUCUCGUUUUCUUCUUUUGUCCACUUGUUCCGUGGUUUUGGCUUUUCAACAUUAUCGACCUUUUCUAUCGGAUGUUUCCACCCAAAUUCAAUAGAUUGCCAAACUCGCU